UGGGGAAUAUUGCACAAUGGGCGCAAGCCUGAUGCAGCCAUGCCGCGUGUAUGAAGAAGGCCUUCGGGUUGUAAAGUACUUUCAGCGGGGAGGAAGGGAGUAAAGUUAAUACCUUUGCUCAUUGACGUUACCCGCAGAAGAAGCACCGGCUAACUCCGUGCCAGCAGCCGCGGUAAUACAGAGGGUGCAAGCGUUAAUCGGAAUUACUGGGCGUAAAGCGCACGCAGGCGGUUUGUUAAGUCAGAUGUGAAAUCCUCGGGCUCAACCUGGGAACUGAAUCUGAUAAUGGCAAGCUUGAGUCUCGUAGAGGGGGGUAGAAUUCCAGGUGUAGCGGUGAAAUGCGUUGAGAUCUGGGGGAAUACCGGUGGCGAAGGCGGCCCCCUGGACGAAGACUGACGAUCAGGUGCGAAAGCGUGGGGAGCAAACAGG
Molecule: ribosomal RNA, 429 nt
Filed under: Chloroflexota bacterium
Lineage: Bacteria; Bacillati; Chloroflexota
Description: Chloroflexi bacterium partial 16S ribosomal RNA
Rfam family: Bacterial small subunit ribosomal RNA
Source: RNAcentral